CGACGGCGGCAUGAUCGGGAACAUCCAUCCACAGGAUUUGCGCCGCGCCGAUCAGCAAUGCGCUCUGCGCGCGCGGCGCGUCGCUCGGAAUGCCGCGAUCCAGCAGCCGUGACAGGAUGUNAUGUGGCCGAGCGUGCCGAGCCGCCGCAGAAUCGUUGCAACCAGCCGGCGCAUCAGCGCGCGAUCGCGAUCCGCCAGCGUCUUCAGUCCGGGAUGCGCGCCGGGACCGUCGAGCUGA
Molecule: unclassified non-coding RNA, 238 nt
Filed under: Hevea brasiliensis (rubber tree)
Lineage: Eukaryota; Viridiplantae; Streptophyta; Magnoliopsida; Malpighiales; Euphorbiaceae
Source: RNAcentral